GACGAACGCGGGCGGCGUGCCUAAUACAUGCAAGUAGAACGCUGAAGAGAGGAGCUUGCUCUUCUGGAUGAGUUGCGAACGGGUGAGUAACGCGUAGGUAACCUGCCUGGUAGCGGGGGACAACUAUUGGAAACGAUAGCUAAUACCGCAUAAAAUUGAUUAUUGCAUGAUAAUUAAUUGAAAGAUGCAAUUGCAUCACUACCAGAUGGACCUGCGUUGUAUUAGCUAGUUGGUGAGGUAACGGCUCACCAAGGCGACGAUACAUAGCCGACCUGAGAGGGUGAUCGGCCACACUGGGACUGAGACACGGCCCAGACUCCUACGGGAGGCAGCAGUAGGGAAUCUUCGGCAAUGGGGGGAACCCUGACCGAGCAACGCCGCGUGAGUGAAGAAGGUUUUCGGAUCGUAAAGCUCUGUUGUAAGAGAAGAACGGGUGUGAGAGUGGAAAGUUCACACUGUGACG
Molecule: ribosomal RNA, 463 nt
Filed under: Streptococcus sanguinis
Lineage: Bacteria; Bacillati; Bacillota; Bacilli; Lactobacillales; Streptococcaceae
Description: bacterial SSU rRNA
Rfam family: Bacterial small subunit ribosomal RNA
Source: RNAcentral